RNAcentral lists this ribosomal RNA (1260 nucleotides) under metagenome. RNAcentral's name for it is "bacterial SSU rRNA". It matches the Rfam family "Bacterial small subunit ribosomal RNA", at positions 245 to 1498 of the family's 1533-position model. The record is from RNAcentral.
CUUGUUGGUGGGGUAAUGGCCUACCAAGGCAACGAUCUAUAGCUGGUCUGAUUGGACGAUCAGCCACACUGGGACUGAGACACGGCCCAGACUCCUACGGGAGGCAGCAGUGGGGAAUAUUGCACAAUGGGCGCAAGCCUGAUGCAGCAAUACCGCGUGUGUGAAGAAGGCCUGCGGGUUGUAAAGCACUUUCAAUAGAGAAGAAAAGCUUUAGGUUAAUAACCUGGAGUCUUGACGUUAACUAUACAAGAAGCACCGGCUAACUCCGUGCCAGCAGCCGCGGUAAUACGGAGGGUGCAAGCGUUAAUCGGAAUUACUGGGCGUAAAGAGUACGUAGGUGGUUUAUUAAGUCAGAUGUGAAAGCCCCGGGCUUAACCUGGGAACUGCAUUUGAAACUGGUCGACUAGAGUAUGGUAGAGGGGGGUAGAAUUCAUAGUGCAGCGGUGAAAUGCGUAGAUAUUAUGAGGAAUACCAGUGGCGAAGGCGGCCCCCUGGACCAAUACUGACACUGAGGUACGAAAGCGUGGGUAGCGAACAGGAUUAGAUACCCUGGUAGUCCACGCCGUAAACGAUGUCAACUAGCCGUUGGGAGCUUGAGCUUUCAGUGGUGCAGCUAACGCAUGAAGUUGACCGCCUGGGGAGUACGGCCGCAAGGCUAAAACUCAAAUGAAUUGACGGGGGCCCGCACAAGCGGUGGAGCAUGUGGUUUAAUUCGAUGCAACGCGAAGAACCUUACCUACCCUUGACAUCAUCAGAACUUGUUAGAGAUAACUCGGUGCCUUCGGGAACUGAAUGACAGGUGCUGCAUGGCUGUCGUCAGCUCGUGUCGUGAGAUGUUGGGUUAAGUCCCGCAACGAGCGCAACCCUUAUCCUUAGUUGCCAGCACAUUAUGGUGGGAACUCUAAGGAGACUGCCGGUGAUAAACCGGAGGAAGGUGGGGAUGACGUCAAGUCAUCGUGGCCCUUAUGGGUAGGGCUACACACGUGCUACAAUGGCCAGUACAGAGGGCAGCAAACUCGCGAGAGUAAGCAAAUCCCAGAAAGCUGGUCGUAGUCCGGAUUGGAGUCUGCAACUCGACUCCAUGAAGUUGGAAUCGCUAGUAAUCGCGAAUCAGAAUGUCGCGGUGAAUACGUUCCCGGGCCUUGUACACACCGCCCGUCACACCAAGGGAGUGGGCUGCAAAAGAAGUGGGUAGUUUAACCUUCGGGAGAACGCUCACCACUUUGUGGUUCAUGACUGGGGUGAAGUCGUAACAAGGUA